This 163-nucleotide ribosomal RNA is filed under the name Lolium rigidum. Its description in RNAcentral is "5.8S ribosomal RNA". It matches the Rfam family "5.8S ribosomal RNA". From Rfam's summary of the family: 5.8S ribosomal RNA (5.8S rRNA) is a component of the large subunit of the eukaryotic ribosome. Lineage: Eukaryota; Viridiplantae; Streptophyta; Magnoliopsida; Poales; Poaceae. The record is from RNAcentral.
AUCCACACGACUCUCGGCAACGAAUAUCUCGGCUCUCGCAUCGAUGAAGAACGUAGCGAAAUGCGAUACUUGGUGUGAAUUGCAGAAUCCCGCGAACCAUCGAGUCUUUGAACGCAAGUUGCGCCCGAGGCCUCUUGGCCGAGGGCACGCCUGCUUGGGCGUC